UAAGCAAGAUCUUAAUGUGUCAUUGAAGUUGUAAGCUCCUAAUGUUUUUUUCUUUUGAAAGCAUUUAUUUGUACAAUUGCAUCAUUUUUAUUUUACUAAUAUUUAUGAUACAUUUUAGUUUUUGUAAUUUUAUUUUGUCUGAGAAGGUUACACUAAAUCUUUAGCAAAUCAGAUCACAAUCUACUUUUACAACACACUUUCUUGAUUCCAGUUACAUUUUUUUCUUCAGUGUUAUAAUGUUUUCAAUAGUACCCUUUGAUAACCACUUCAGAUAAAAAUAGCUGUAUAUAUGCAUGUCCUAUUUAUACCCCAACCUUCAUUGCUAUCUUUUAACCUGUGACACUUACCCUAAGUAUAUAAAAUUAAUCGUAAAAUUUGUUGGGAAAAUACUAUAAGUUUUCUUUCUAUUUUUUAUUACUUUAUACUGGUACUACUUUGCCAUUUCACAUCAGCAUUUAGAUUGAAAGCAACUUUUCAAGUAUACUUUUAAAAACUACACUCAUAAUAUUUUUUUUCUUUAAAAUGAUACAUUUUUAUAAAAAACAAAAUUUUUUUCUUUCAUGUGCAUAAUAUUUUUCUUUCAUCUUAUUUUGUUAGAUGAUAAAAAAGUUUUUUCCAUAUUUAAUUUUUAUAAUAAAUAUUAUAUUUUGUUCUCCAAUUUUUUUAAAUUGCUAUUUUAAAUUUCAUUGAAAUUACCUAGUGAAGAUGGGUACAUUUAAACCUUGUAAAAAUAUCAACCACAUUUUUAGUGGAUGGGUUCUGUUUUAAUGAAUUAUCAUUCAGUUCUCCCUUUCAACACACAUGCCUACAACAUGCUGUAUAGUCCAGUCCCUAUUUGGACCUUUGGGGAAGAGGGCAUCUGGGAGAAGGUGUAACAUAUUGGUAUUAUAUGUACAUUUGCACACUAGCGCGUCAGUGCAACACCGCUUGUGUUUACGUAAUAAAUGGAGUUCCUAAAAUGUCUUCCCUCUUAAACACUAGUUUGUUAUUUGUGUAAUACGAAUAUUCU
This is a non-coding RNA of Biomphalaria pfeifferi, 1009 nucleotides long. Lineage: Eukaryota; Metazoa; Mollusca; Gastropoda; Planorbidae. The record is from the annotation of a GenBank genome assembly.